Molecule: ribosomal RNA, 465 nt
Filed under: uncultured Streptococcus sp.
Lineage: Bacteria; Bacillati; Bacillota; Bacilli; Lactobacillales; Streptococcaceae
Description: bacterial SSU rRNA
Rfam family: Bacterial small subunit ribosomal RNA
Source: RNAcentral
CCUACGGGAGGCAGCAGUAGGGAAUCUUCGGCAAUGGACGGAAGUCUGACCGAGCAACGCCGCGUGAGUGAAGAAGGUUUUCGGAUCGUAAAGCUCUGUUGUAAGAGAAGAACGAGUGUGAGAGUGGAAAGUUCACACUGUGACGGUAUCUUACCAGAAAGGGACGGCUAACUACGUGCCAGCAGCCGCGGUAAUACGUAGGUCCCGAGCGUUGUCCGGAUUUAUUGGGCGUAAAGCGAGCGCAGGCGGUUAGAUAAGUCUGAAGUUAAAGGCUGUGGCUUAACCAUAGUAGGCUUUGGAAACUGUUUAACUUGAGUGCAAGAGGGGAGAGUGGAAUUCCAUGUGUAGCGGUGAAAUGCGUAGAUAUAUGGAGGAACACCGGUGGCGAAAGCGGCUCUCUGGCUUGUAACUGACGCUGAGGCUCGAAAGCGUGGGGAGCAAACAGGAUUAGAUACCCCAGUAGUC